CUCUGGAGCCACAGUCCAGGAAAGCUGAGAGCUGAAACUCUGGGCUGUGAAGGCCCACAGAGGAAGAGCCUGGAGAGCCCACCUCUGGCCAUCAGUCUCUGAUGCUCUGUUCACGGCUGUCCCCUGAGAGGUCAUGGGCUUCUCUGUUUGACCCAAGCAGGUACUCAGGGUCAAGGCUGGAACCCAGGUCUCAUGUCCCCUGCUCUUUGCUUUGUUCUCGCUGCCCCUGACCCAGGGCCCUUCUGUAUCCCUGACCUUGUCCCUGCCCUGGUCCCCUUCCCUCUCUGCCCUGAGUUGUUAUAAGACCCCCUCCUUAUUCCCCAUCCCACUCUACCCCCUGACUUCCCAUCAGUAAACAUGACAGGCUGUUCUGGGGUGGAACAACAGGCCAGUAUCCCAAGUGGCCAAUGUCCCCUAAGGACAGGCGGUGGAGCUGGCUAUAGCUUCUAGUUUCCAGUUAGGCCUGAACUACUGACUCUGUUCCAGCUAAAAGACACUAUCAGUGUCUCUGAACUCUGUCUGCACUAAGUUCUAGAGGGACAGCUUUGGGAUGCACACAGCAUGCCCAGUUCCUGAGGGGCACCAGGUCUGAGAAGCUGAAAUUGCCAUGGAUUGGCUGCACUUGGAGAACGGACAAGAGGAAGGGAAGAAAAGAAGGAAGAGAGGGAGAAAUCAGGGUGGCCAUCCCUGCUGUGACGUCACCACCGCAACAACAUCUCUCCGUGGGAUCAAUUCCUGAUCUCAACAGAAACUUCCAGUCACAAAACCAACAGACCUCACAGGAGUUCUGUAACAGGCAGAGGGAGGGAAUAGGACAAGGGUGGAUCCAGGGACUCAGGGAUGUGGGGCUCACAUAGAAGACCGCAAGCAAAUGGCAGAGAUGACUGUAGAUAUUUGCCGGUGGGGAUGUGCUCCUGAUGCGUAGAAGCUCAACACCAUGCAAGCUCAGAGACCCGCUUGACCAUCCCAAAAGCAUGCUUCCUCCCUAGCACACACUCUAGUGGAAGUGAUGCCUAGAUGCUCAGCCCACUGUCUAACUGCCUCCCUGGAGGUGGUACCUGAAAAGCUCCUACUCUGAGUCUUACUCAGUAGUCACCAUAAGAAAUUUGAUAGCCAGUGUGGUAGCACACAUCUGGAAAUCCCACUGCUGGGGAGGGGGAGGCAAGAGUAUUGAGAGUUUGAGGCUAGCUUGGAAAACAAAGCAACACCCUGUCUCAAAAAACAACCACAAAAUCAGAGAUUGGUUAAUUGUGACCCUUCAUGCCUAAGCCUGCUGUGACUCAGCAUGUUUCCAAUGUGUCUUCAAGGGCUCUUGUGUCAGAGUUGGGUAUAUAGUAUGCUUGGGCUCCUGAGAAGUGGUUGGUCCUUUGUAAGGUGGGACCUAGUGGGAGAUACUUAGUUCUCUGGGUAGCUGCCCUUAAAAGAGAUUAAGUUAAAGUCUUAUAGGACCCCUGGGGUCUCACGAGAGUUAUGAGCAUGAGCCUGGGCCAGGCAUAGUGGCUCACACCUGGACUCCUAGCAGUCAGGAAGCUAAAGCAGGGCAAUUGUUGAGUUUGAGGCCAGCUCUAACUACACGGUGAGUUCCAGGCCAUCCUGGGCUACACUGUGAGACACAAUCAGAACAAAAAAGACAAGUGAGGUUGGUCCCUAAACAACUCUGGCUUCUUGGCUUAAGAUACACUCUUUUCCUUCCACUUGUCCCUGGCACUGAUACCAUCCAUCUUAGCAUCCUCAGCAGAAGCCUAAUUAAUGGGACCACCCAAUCUUGGACCUGAACCCCAGAAAGUGGGGAGGAUGUUUUGAGACUCAACCAUGUUAUAUCAAUACCAGACCGGAUACUUUCUGCCUUUGUUUGUGAGUGAAAGGAACAAUCAUGUCAGAUCUGACGGCACGAAUCGGAACUCCACGUGACCGGUCAGGACAGGAGUCACUCUAGGUACACGGCUGUUUGGUGUUUCUCAGCACAGGGGCACUUCUGGUCACAAGGUGGACAUCUACAGUCAUGUGUGUGUUCUUCGGGUCAGCACAUUGUCUCUGUUUUGUGGAUGUGAGCGGGAAACCGUUGAUGGGCACGUAUCCGCCGCCUCGCACAAGAAACGCCAAUACUGUGUUUGCUGAUGGAAAAAUGAAAAGACUGGAAUAACCUUCAAACACAACUUCAACCACUGGAUAUUUUUGAGUGGUUGUGCAUUUUCUUGUAGCUGGACAUAGUGGCACAUGUCUUUAGUCCUAGCACUGAGGAGGCAGAGGCAGGCAGAUCUCUGUGAGUUCAAGGCCAGCCUGGUUUACAUAGUAAUUCCCACACCAGUCAGGGAUAAGUAGUGAAAGCUUGUCUUAAAAAAAUAAAGUUACUUGUAAUUUUUAAA
This is a long non-coding RNA of Mesocricetus auratus (golden hamster), 2366 nucleotides long. RefSeq lists it as uncharacterized. The record is from RefSeq and is a predicted model, not a curated record. Lineage: Eukaryota; Metazoa; Chordata; Mammalia; Rodentia; Cricetidae. The transcript has 2 exons.